CCACGCCCUAUCGAGGAAAGCAGCAACGGGGCCAUAGGUAACAGGCAAACGUCAGUGGAACCAGAAACAAUGCCAUCAAACAUGAGCGGCGACCUUGACCAAGCUCCAUGUAGGGAGACAUUCUGGGAGGCGUGGUGAACUUUUCUUCAGAGGAAUCAUCAAUAUUUUCAACAACGGUCUGGUUGCCUCUAAUGAGAAUCACGCAUGUUGAGUUUCCUUCUUCUAGGGGCCCAAGAUUAGGUGCCUGCAAAAUAAGUCCCAAACUAAGGAUACAUGUGGUGGAUAAACAGGUGCAGGAGCUCAUUAUUUAGAUAACUAACGCAAUUACCUCUGGAUGCGCCCCGUGGUUCCACGGGCCAAAACCAUUUCCACGGAAAUUAGGCAUUGGGGGCGACUGAUGAUGAUG
Molecule: long non-coding RNA, 406 nt
Organism: Triticum dicoccoides
Lineage: Eukaryota; Viridiplantae; Streptophyta; Magnoliopsida; Poales; Poaceae
Exons: 5
Source: RefSeq, a predicted model, not a curated record